This is a small nuclear RNA of 118 nucleotides. It matches the Rfam family "U5 spliceosomal RNA". Rfam says of the family: U5 RNA is a component of both types of known spliceosome. The precise function of this molecule is unknown, though it is known that the 5' loop is required for splice site selection and p220 binding, and that both the 3' stem-loop and the Sm site are important for Sm protein binding and cap methylation. The record is from Rfam.
AGCCGCGCGGUGAGCACAGAGCGAACUAUUCUUUCGCCUUUUACUAAAGAAUACCGUGUGCUCGCCGCUUUUAAGCGGCAUACGCCAAUUUUUUUAGGGGCGUUCCUCUGCGAACGCU